AUGGCCGUCCUCGCGAGUAGGCACAUAAAGAUCUCCCCGGCGUGUCCGGUUUGUAACAAAUGUCUGGAGGAUAUUAAGCACCUGCUCUUCACUUGUUCGCGAGCAGCCCAGGUUUGGCGUGCUCUUGGACUGGACACCACCAUUGAAGAAGCAGCGAAAGUUGAUCGUUCUGGUUCAGUGGUACUCGAGGAAAUCUUACGACGACCAAAAGGCUCGUCUCCGGUUCUGGGUCAGAUUGGUCUCCACGAAACAGUGGCAGUUGCUUCAUGGCCUGCCCAGAGGUCGAGGAACGAGGCGCUCCUCUACAUCCGUGCCGUCAAGGAUAGUUUCAGGGACAAACCUGACAAGUUUGAGGAGUUCUUGGCGCUCCUGCACGGAGUCAGUAGCAAGAGGAUCGAUGCUCGAGCCUUCACCAGCGCCUUGGAGGUCCUGUUCGACGGGCGCCCGGAACUCAUCCGUCAGUUCAACACGUUCAUGGCAUCGCGUUGGUGGCUAGGCAAUGGUGGAUACGCAGGACAUGUAGUAGGCGAGAGAGCAGUCGGCGAGUAA
This 549-nucleotide ribosomal RNA is filed under the name Triticum aestivum (bread wheat). RNAcentral's name for it is "partial small subunit ribosomal RNA". Lineage: Eukaryota; Viridiplantae; Streptophyta; Magnoliopsida; Poales; Poaceae. The record is from RNAcentral.